GAGGGUACAGCUCAGUGGUAGAGUGCAUGCUUAGCAUGCACAAGGUCCUGGGUUCAAUCCCCAGUACCUCCA
This is a transfer RNA of Camelus ferus (Wild Bactrian camel), 72 nucleotides long. It matches the Rfam family "tRNA". Rfam says of the family: Transfer RNA (tRNA) molecules are approximately 80 nucleotides in length. NCBI's taxonomy places the organism in Eukaryota, Metazoa, Chordata, Mammalia, Artiodactyla, Camelidae. The record is from Rfam.